Molecule: non-coding RNA, 242 nt
Filed under: Halanaerobium saccharolyticum
Lineage: Bacteria; Bacillati; Bacillota; Clostridia; Halanaerobiales; Halanaerobiaceae
Description: T-box sequence
Rfam family: T-box leader
About the family: Uncharged tRNA acts as the effector for transcription antitermination of genes in the T-box leader family.
Source: RNAcentral
AAAUUGAUUAUGAAAGGGACAGUAUCAAUUUUUAAUUGUUUUUAGCGAACCGGGGCUGGUGGAAGCCGGGAAACAUAAAAUUGAGAAGAUCACCCUGGAGUCGGUAUAUGAAUAGAUUAGUAUACCCGUAUUUCUGCGUUAAAGAUUGCUAAGAUAAGAUUAGUAAUUAAUAAGUUGAAUUAACAGCAGCUAUUUGAUUACUAAUUUUAAUUAGGGUGGUACCGCGGUCUCUCGUCCCUUAC